Molecule: ribosomal RNA, 253 nt
Filed under: uncultured bacterium
Lineage: Bacteria
Description: partial 16S ribosomal RNA
Rfam family: Bacterial small subunit ribosomal RNA
Source: RNAcentral
UACGAAGGGGGCUAGCGUUGUUCGGAAUCAUUGGGCGUAAAGCGCGCGUAGGCGGCCCGGUAAGUCCGCUGUGAAAGUCAAAGGCUCAACCUUUGAAUGUCAGCGGAUACUGCCGGGCUAGAGUCCGGAAGAGGCGAGUGGAACUCCUGGUGUAGCGGUGGAAUGCGCAGAUAUCAGGAAGAACACCAACGGCGAAGGCAGCUCGCUGGGACGGAACUGACGCUAAGGCGCGAAAGCGUGGGGAGCGAACAGG